CCUCUUUUUUCUCUCUGCAGGGAAGAAGAAGGACUAUGCAAAGGCUCCAAGCACGGACGGGGGAUCUGACAGCUCAACCACAGGGGACCCCAUCUUAAGAGCUUGAUAAGGGGACCAGCGCAUGGCUGGAUGCGGCCCCCUGCCCCUCACCGU
Egretta garzetta (little egret) is the source of this 153-nucleotide long non-coding RNA. RefSeq lists it as uncharacterized. The transcript is spliced from 3 exons. The record is from RefSeq and is a predicted model, not a curated record. NCBI's taxonomy places the organism in Eukaryota, Metazoa, Chordata, Aves, Pelecaniformes, Ardeidae.